UGCUGAAGAGUCCCAAACAGGACGAAACAGUUGUUCA
This 37-nucleotide non-coding RNA is filed under the name Echinostoma caproni. The record is from RNAcentral. Lineage: Eukaryota; Metazoa; Platyhelminthes; Trematoda; Plagiorchiida; Echinostomatidae.